This 463-nucleotide ribosomal RNA is filed under the name uncultured bacterium. Its description in RNAcentral is "partial 16S ribosomal RNA". It matches the Rfam family "Bacterial small subunit ribosomal RNA", at positions 28 to 507 of the family's 1533-position model. The record is from RNAcentral.
GAUGAACGCUGACAGAAUGCUUAACACAUGCAAGUCUUUGGCGAAGCUGUGCUUGCACAGCCUAGCCAAGGCGGACGGGUGAGUAACGCGUAAGGAACUUGCCUUGCAGUCAGGGAUAACAGACGGAAACGACUGAUAAGACCUGGUAAAGUCAGGCGGACUCAUGUCCAGCCUGAUGAAAAGAGAUGCUGCAGGAGAGCCUUGCGUCCUAUUAGCUUGUUGGUGGGGUAACGGCCCACCAAGGCGAUGAUAGGUAGCCGGCCUGAGAGGGUGGACGGCCACAAGGGGACUGAGAUACGGCCCUUACUCCUACGGGAGGCAGCAGUGGGGAAUAUUGGACAAUGGGGGCAACCCUGAUCCAGCAAUUCUGUGUGCACGAUGAAGGUUUUCGGAUUGUAAAGUGCUUUCAGCAGGGAAGAAAAAAAUGACGGUACCUGCAGAAGAAGCGACGGCUAAAUACGUG